UUGACUAUGGGUUGGAUAAGUCGUUAACAAUAGAAUAAGCUGCUAGAGAACAUUGCUUAAUUUUCUAAAUUAAGAAUAAUUCUUAAAUUUGUGAAUCAGUCUAUAUAAUUGGUUUCGGUUAAUCAGUUGAUAUCUAAGAUUUAAGCUAGAGGGUUGGAAGCUAACACAACGAACAGUAGAGAGCAAAAAUUCUAAUUGGAUAUUUGUACUUAUUUUUAUAAUUUACUCUAAGAAUUUUUAGAUGUAAAAGGAUAUUGGGAAUUAUGUCUUAAAACUAAUUGUGUGACGAUUGAGUUCAUCCUUAUA
Molecule: long non-coding RNA, 306 nt
Filed under: Elaeis guineensis (African oil palm)
Lineage: Eukaryota; Viridiplantae; Streptophyta; Magnoliopsida; Arecales; Arecaceae
Description: long non-coding RNA (EGUI_LNC050028)
Source: RNAcentral